ACUGUUUCAAUGUUGUGCAUUCUGCCUCGCAGAUCAGUGUUUUUAGAAGUGCCUGGAUGUCUUCUAAGCCAUACUGAACUGCUUCAAACAGCAUUCUUCUAAGAAAUCCUGUAUUGAAGAGGGAUCCUGACCUACAAUACAACAAAACCAUAGAAUGAGUGCCCACCGAGAGGGGUUUUUUCUGGAACCUUGACAAUAACCACAGAACUUUUUCAAACAGCACAAAUCUCUUCUGGAGUGCAAUGGGUAACAUUUUAGUGAGAAGAGACUCAAAAAGAAUACUUACCACAACGGUCCCAGUUCAACUGCUGUCUUCCCAGUCAUUUGGUUAUGGCAGUCACAUGGAAGCUGCCAAUAAGGAUUGUCUGUGAAAAAGAAACAGUAAAACAUAUUUCUUCUAGACUGAGUGAUACAUAAUUUAUGAAUGUUAUGGAAAUUGAAAUGCUAAUAAAUUAAAAGCCGUUAUAAUUACAAAAGUAAUUUGUUCUGGCUGUUUAACUAAACGCUAUAAUUUCAGAAAUGGGUGAAUUAAUCCCUCUAGGCAUGCAUAAAACAUGAGCUUAUAUUACAGCUUACUUCCUCUGAUUCUACUUCCUAAAUUUGAUGGAGAGCUGAAGUUCAAGUGUAAUAAUAGCAUUAGCACUUGAACAAUGAGACUGAAGUUUGAGUCAAAAACUUAGGUUUUGAUUUUGAUCCAAUCAUUGUAACCUGCCUUAUGGCACUACGAGAUACUAGUUUAUUUCAGUAAAUUUAAGCCAGAUGCUUUUCUCUAAGAAGCGCUCCAUGGAACAGGCAAAUUCAAGUCCUGGGGAAUCAUUAAUCAAUUCUAUAUGCCUACUUAGUAUGUUUUACAAAUAUCACCUGAAGUUAAGUCCAAGUAAUUGUGUCCAUGAUUACAGCCUUCCUAUACAAUAAGUAGUUCUUAUUUCUCAUGAAAACAAUUUCAAUAUUGUUUUCAAUUAUUAGCUCAUUAAUUUUAUUCUUAUUUAUGCUGUUGCUAUUUCUCAUUGUUAAGAGCUUUCUGUUGCAAAAAGAGGAAGGGUACAAAUAAAAUUUAUGCAGGUCUACCAUCUAGGUUCUAAAUCAGCAUUGUACCGAAAUAAUCAUCUGCACAGAAUUUGAGAAUAGAUUACUAUUGAACAAACAAACACCACAAUAGGCAGGUGCUGUGGUGAUUUUGUUUUCAUUAACUGAACCACCCUGAGAACUAGCUGAAAUUAGAAAAUAGAUUACCUUCUAUCAUGUUGCCUUCUCUUUUGAAUAUCCUCUCUU
Molecule: long non-coding RNA, 1272 nt
Organism: Ahaetulla prasina
Lineage: Eukaryota; Metazoa; Chordata; Lepidosauria; Squamata; Colubridae
Exons: 3
Source: RefSeq, a predicted model, not a curated record